Long non-coding RNA from Ornithodoros turicata, 375 nucleotides. RefSeq lists it as uncharacterized. The transcript is spliced from 9 exons. The record is from RefSeq and is a predicted model, not a curated record. NCBI's taxonomy places the organism in Eukaryota, Metazoa, Arthropoda, Arachnida, Ixodida, Argasidae.
AGGACUACACAUACCAGGCAGCUCUGGCUGAGCUGACCGGCUACCUUGUUCAGGCACCCAGCAGUAGGCAGAACAUAUACUGGGCCAUGGUUAAGCUGCUACCAAAGCUGAGAGAGUCAUACUACUCCCGUUCAAACCAGCAGGAAUGGCAGUCGGAUCUUGGAGGUAUGAUAUUUGAGGUGGGCGCUAUCCUUUAUCACUACGGGUUCGUGGUCGACCAGAAUCUUCGUGACAGCAUCUUUGGGAUCGGUGAGCGACUCGGUGUCCUAGCCGCUGGACCCGAAAAGAAGUAACCAACCGGAAUGCAAGGGACGCUGUCAUUGGGAGUGAUGACGUUUCUUUGGCGCUGCGAAAUAAAGGUGUUUUGCAAAUUGA